Molecule: transfer RNA, 72 nt
Filed under: Phrynosoma platyrhinos (Desert horned lizard)
Lineage: Eukaryota; Metazoa; Chordata; Lepidosauria; Squamata; Phrynosomatidae
Description: tRNA-OTHER
Rfam family: tRNA (bases 9-72)
About the family: Transfer RNA (tRNA) molecules are approximately 80 nucleotides in length. Their secondary structure includes four short double-helical elements and three loops (D, anti-codon, and T loops). Further hydrogen bonds mediate the characteristic L-shaped molecular structure. tRNAs have two regions of fundamental functional importance: the anti-codon, which is responsible for specific mRNA codon recognition, and the 3' end, to which the tRNAs corresponding amino acid is attached (by aminoacyl-tRNA synthetases). tRNAs cope with the degeneracy of the genetic code in two manners: having more than one tRNA (with a specific anti-codon) for a particular amino acid; and 'wobble' base-pairing, i.e. permitting non-standard base-pairing at the 3rd anti-codon position.
Source: RNAcentral
GUUACUGUGGUGCAGUGGUUUGAACAUUGGACUAUGACUCUGGAGACCAGGGUUUAAAUCCCUGCUCAGCCA